CUGGCUUAUCCCUUGGGCUCUCUGCUUCCUGGCUGCCAUGACAAGGGCAGCUUUUCUCUACCAGGCCAUUUUUUCUUUCACCAUGCCAUUUCUGCCUGAGAGCUGACGAAGCAAGGACCGAACCCACUGAAAGUGCUUGGGUUCAAAACCCAAAGCUACCAGUUACCAACUGUGUGUCACUGGGGCUCCCAAGUCCAGGGGACCAUCUCUGCUGCCCACUGAAUCCAGAUCUGAAGUUCGGCCCCUCCUCAGAUUGCCCCAAAGAAUCCACUCAGAAAACUAAAAGUGAAGAAUGAGAAUUUCAUUGAGGAUUUCAGAGAGAAGACAGCACAUGCUCUCCAGGAAGCUGCAUUAGAAGCCACACUAAAUGACCUCUACUUACUCACAUAAUGGAUAAAUCCACGCUAUAGAUACCCAAACACUGAUUAUCACCAACCUUGCUUGUGGCAGUUGUACUGCUAUCAUGGUUAUGUAAUUUAACUCAUUAUAAACAGACAAAAUAUAAACAUAAAAUCCAGCUGUCACUUCUAUCAAAA
Molecule: non-coding RNA, 536 nt
Organism: Heterocephalus glaber (naked mole-rat)
Lineage: Eukaryota; Metazoa; Chordata; Mammalia; Rodentia; Bathyergidae
Source: RefSeq, a predicted model, not a curated record